GACGAACGCUGGCGGCGUGCUUAACACAUGCAAGUCGAACGGAAAGGCCCUGCUUUUGUGGGGUGCUCGAGUGGCGAACGGGUGAGUAACACGUGAGUAACCUGCCCUUGACUUUGGGAUAACUUCAGGAAACUGGGGCUAAUACCGGAUAGGAGAUCCUGCUGCAUGGUGGGGGUUGGAAAGUUUCGGCGGUUGGGGAUGGUCUCGCGGCUUAUCAGCUGGUUGGUGGGGUAGUUGCUUACCAAGGCUUUGACGGAUAGCCCGCCUGAGAGGGUUGACGGGCACCAUGGGACUGAGAGACGGAGCAGACUCGUACGGGAGGCAGCGGUGGGGAAUAUUACGCAAUGGGCGGAAGCCUGAUGCAGCAACCCCGCGUGCGGGAUGACGGCCUUCGGGUUAUAAACCGCUUUCGCCUGAGACGAAGCGUGAGUGACGGUAAUGGGUAAAGAAGCACCGGCUAACUACGUG
RNAcentral lists this ribosomal RNA (468 nucleotides) under uncultured bacterium. RNAcentral describes it as "partial 16S ribosomal RNA". It matches the Rfam family "Bacterial small subunit ribosomal RNA", at positions 28 to 507 of the family's 1533-position model. The record is from RNAcentral.